GUGCCAGCAGCCGCGGUAAUACGUAGGGCGCAAGCGUUAUCCGGAAUUAUUGGGCGUAAAGAGCUCGUAGGCGGUUUGUCGCGUCUGCCGUGAAAGUCCGGGGCUUAACCCCGGAUCUGCGGUGGGUACGGGCAGACUAGAGUGCAGUAGGGGAGACUGGAAUUCCUGGUGUAGCGGUGAAAUGCGCAGAUAUCAGGAGGAACACCGAUGGCGAAGGCAGGUCUCUGGGCUGUAACUGACGCUGAGGAGCGAAAGCAUUGGGGAGCGAACAGGAUUAGAUACCCUGGUAGUCCAUGCCGUAAACGUUGGGCACUAGGUGUGGGGGACAUUCCACGUUUUCCGCGCCGUAGCUAACGCAUUAAGUGCCCCGCCUGGGGAGUACGGCCGCAAGUCUAAAACUCAAAGGAAUUGACGGGGGCCCGCACAAGCGGCCGAGCAUGCGAUUAAUUCGAUGCAACGCGAAAGAACCUUACCAGGCUUGACAUGAACCGGAAUGAUGCAGAGAUGUGUCAGCCACUUGUGCCGGGUUUACAGGUGGUGCAUGGUUGUCGUCAGCUCGUGUCGUGAGAUGUUGGUUAAGUCCCCGCAACGAGCGCAACCCUCGUUCAUGUUGCCAGCGGUUAUGCCGGGGACUCAUGGAGACUGCCGGGGUCACUCGGAGAAGUGGGACGACGUCAAUCAUCAUGCCCUUAUGUCUGGCUCCACGCAUGCUAACAUGACGUACAAGGUGCGAUACUGUGAGGUGAGCUAUCCCAAAAGCCGGCUCAGUUCGAUUGAGUCUGCAUCGACCUCGGAGUGGAGUCGCUAGUAUCGCGAUACGACUCGUCGAUGAAUACGUCAGCUGACAGCGCCGCUAGCGAUCGAUGACUGCAG
This 873-nucleotide ribosomal RNA is filed under the name uncultured bacterium. RNAcentral's name for it is "bacterial SSU rRNA". It matches the Rfam family "Bacterial small subunit ribosomal RNA", at positions 505 to 1533 of the family's 1533-position model. The record is from RNAcentral.